GAUGAAGAACGUAGCGAAAUGCGAUAAGUAAUGUGAAUUGCAGAAUUCAGUGAAUCAUCGAAUCUUUGAACGCACAUUGCGCCCGCUAGUAUUCUGGCGGGCAUUCCUGUCCGAGCGUCAUUUCAACCCUCAAGCCCCCGGGCUUGGUGUUGGGGAUCGGCGAGCCUCCGCGCCCGCCGUCCCCUAAAUCUAGUGGCGGUCUCGCUGUAGCUUCCUCUGCGUAGUAGCACACCUCGCACUGGGAAACAGCGCGGCCACGCCGUUAAACCCCCAACUUCUGAACGUUUGACCUCGGAUCAGGUAGGAAUACCCGCUGAACUUAAGCAUAUCAAUAAGCGGAGGA
This 343-nucleotide unclassified non-coding RNA is filed under the name soil metagenome. Its description in RNAcentral is "partial contains 5.8S ribosomal RNA, internal transcribed spacer 2, and large subunit ribosomal RNA". The stretch from base 1 to 120 matches the Rfam family "5.8S ribosomal RNA", at positions 35 to 154 of the family's 154-position model. The record is from RNAcentral.